This 253-nucleotide ribosomal RNA is filed under the name uncultured bacterium. Its description in RNAcentral is "partial 16S ribosomal RNA". It matches the Rfam family "Bacterial small subunit ribosomal RNA", at positions 524 to 776 of the family's 1533-position model. The record is from RNAcentral.
UACGAAGGGGGCUAGCGUUGCUCGGAAUGACUGGGCGUAAAGCGCACGUAGGCGGCUUCGCAAGUCAGAGGUGAAAGCCUGGGGCUCAACCCCAGAAUUGCCUUUGAGACUGCGUCGCUCGAAUCCGGGAGAGGCGGGUGGAAUUCCGAGUGUAGAGGUGAAAUUCGUAGAUAUUCGGAAGAACACCAGUGGCGAAGGCGGCCCGCUGGACCGGCAUUGACGCUGAGGUGCGAAAGCGUGGGGAGCAAACAGG